GAUCCUGUAGAAAGUACAGCAUGAGUUAUCUGUUUAUGCCACCCAAUUGCUGGAGAAGGAGCACUAUGGUUGUUAUUCAUUGCUUAGGGAUGAUAAGGUAUUGCUGCUGCUGCUGCGAGUGGUGAAAUUAUUUUAUUUGAUUUUAAUCCAUUGAAGUUCAUCCACAUUUUUUGGUCAACAGAUAGAGGACUUGUCAAGAAUGUAUAGGCUCUUCUCCAAAAUACCUCGAGGCUUAGAGCCUGUUGCUAAUUUAUUUAAGCAGGUUGUGAUAUGCUUCAGUUUUUUAAAAUAAACGUUAUUUUUCAAGUUUUUUGUUUCUCAUAUAUAAUGGCAUCUUGAGUGCAGCAUGUUACUGCUGAAGGUACAACGUUGGUUAGACAAGCAGAGGAUGCUGCUAGCGCCUAGCAAC
RNAcentral lists this long non-coding RNA (409 nucleotides) under Olea europaea subsp. europaea. The record is from RNAcentral. Lineage: Eukaryota; Viridiplantae; Streptophyta; Magnoliopsida; Lamiales; Oleaceae.